This 328-nucleotide ribosomal RNA is filed under the name uncultured bacterium. Its description in RNAcentral is "bacterial SSU rRNA". It matches the Rfam family "Bacterial small subunit ribosomal RNA", at positions 468 to 793 of the family's 1533-position model. The record is from RNAcentral.
UUUGACGUUAGCUGCAGAAGAAGCACCGGCUAACUCCGUGCCAGCAGCCGCGGUAAUACGGAGGGUGCGAGCGUUAAUCGGAAUUACUGGGCGUAAAGCGCAUGCAGGUGGUUUUGUUAAGUCAGAUGUGAAAGCCCGGGGCUCAACCUCGGAAUUGCAUUUGAAACUGGCAAACUAGAGUACUGUAGAGGGGGUAGAAUUUCAGGUGUAGCGGUGAAAUGCGUAGAGAUCUGAAGGAAUACCGGUGGCGAAGGCGGCCCCCUGGACAGAUACUGACACUCAGAUGCGAAAGCGUGGGGAGCCAAACAGGAUUAGAUACCCCUGGUAG